This 207-nucleotide ribosomal RNA is filed under the name uncultured bacterium. Its description in RNAcentral is "partial 16S ribosomal RNA". It matches the Rfam family "Bacterial small subunit ribosomal RNA", at positions 568 to 774 of the family's 1533-position model. The record is from RNAcentral.
CAUGUAGGCGUUUCGGUAAGUCGAAUGUGAAAUCCCGUAGCUCAACUACGGAACUGCAUUCGAAACUACCGGGAUUGAGUACGGAAGAGGAGAAUGGAAUUCCCGGUGUAAGAGUGAAAUCUGUAGAUAUCGGGAGGAACACCAGUAGCGAAGGCGAUUCUCUGGUCCGAUACUGACGCUGAAAUGCGAAAGCUAGGGGAGCAAACA